This is a long non-coding RNA of Bos indicus x Bos taurus (hybrid cattle), 1394 nucleotides long. NCBI's taxonomy places the organism in Eukaryota, Metazoa, Chordata, Mammalia, Artiodactyla, Bovidae. The record is from Ensembl.
AAAUUCUGUAAUUUCAAUUUUGAGACAGUUAAGAGGAGGAUUUGUUUUAAAUACAUGUUUUUCCACAUUUUUGGAAACAUUAUAAAAUGUUGUAUUUUUCAUACCCCACACCCUUUUAUAUCAGGACAUUCCCCCUUUCUUCUUCCCCUCAGAAAAUUCUGUAAGAUUAAGGGUCAUAUAAGGGCUCUUCGCCCUGAAGCCCAUGAGAGAAAAAGAACCUCAUAAACCACAGAAAGAAAUAUCCAUGGGGCACUCAGGUAGCCUAAAAGGUCUGACAACAGCAGGCCCUACCCUACGAACAAAGCAGGGACCCCCACGGGCACGCAGCCAUCUCCUGCACUGCAGCUCUGCUCUCUUCUUUGAUUGGUUUUAGCGGUGACGCCCCCUCUGAAUGCCUCGCUCGGAUUGGCCUACUUCUUGGAUCAGACUGGACGGUGGCCAGAGGAGGACAAGAGAGUUCCAUACGGUCUGGAGGGACGAUUUGGGUCACAUCUGAGAAGGAGUUGCACAUCAACAAGCGUCCAGGCUCCAGGGACAUGGCGGCGGCCUCUGUGAUGUCGGUGCUGCUGAUGGCGACUGAGAGGAACCGGUGGCAGCGAGUCCAGAGCCUGCUGCUGCUGCUGCCGCCCAGGCAACGGUUGUGUCCCUUUCUGCCUUAAUGCCAAUCAACAUGCUGAAGUCCUCAAAAAGUUCCUGAGAGAUCCAUUUCAAAUUCUAGUCAAGAAAGAACUGAUCAUUGAAAGGUGCUGACAGAAAGAAAGAGGCAUUACCAAGAGGGAACUCCUUGAUAAGAAUUGGAAGCGGGAGUCAAUUUGGGAGGAAAGCUGUGGCCAUAAACAUUGAAGAAGACAAGAAGAAUCUUUAUGACACUGAGACUUUCUACCACAUUACGGUGGAGGAAAUGCCAAAGACUGUGGCUGACCUAAUUUAAUCCCUGGAAUGAAAUGGUUAUGAAUGUAGUGCUUGCUAUUGCUGAACAGGCAAUCACAUUGUGCAUUGUGUUUCUUUUGGGGAUAAUAUGUGAAACUUGUCUCAGUGCUCACAACAGAUUAAAAAUACAGAUUUUGAUAACAAAGCAACUUCAGACAUGAUUUCAUGUGAGGGUAGUCAUUGGCUUUAUCUUCUUAUUUCCUAGUUCUCUACACAUGGUUGUAUUGAGCAUUUGCCAUCAUUUAAUAAUAUGGCCUGAAAGAUAUAAAAGCAGCUAUUUAUAAAGUUUGUCUGCCUUUAUUGUAUUAGUCACUAACUGAAUAGAGCUAACUUUAAAAUGAUUUUUUAAGAAAAUAUUUAAAUUUAUUUUGUUUGGUAUCAUUUUUUCCAGUAAGGCAUUUUAUUAGCAGUUAGUUGAAUGUUUAUUGAAUGUUCAAUAAAUUACAGUGAAGUAUUUUUUCUCU